Molecule: long non-coding RNA, 968 nt
Filed under: Anas platyrhynchos platyrhynchos (common mallard)
Lineage: Eukaryota; Metazoa; Chordata; Aves; Anseriformes; Anatidae
Description: lncRNA (ENSAPLG00000026447.1)
Source: RNAcentral
AUUUGGCACAGGGUCAUUGAUCUUAGUGCUAGCCCAAAGUAGCAGUGGAAAAUUCUGCAAUGGCCUCCCAGAGAUAUGCAUUUGAAUUAAAUUGUUCCCCAUGCUGGGCAUAGGACAAGCAUGGUACUUGUCCCUAAAACUGACCUACCAAACUUUAGGUAGAUAUCCAUUCAUCAGGUAAUCCUCUAAGAAAGCUUUCUUUUUCAAUCAAUAUUUCUCUGUCCUGAGGACUGUUGUCCAUUAUACAAAACACAGCAGCAAUAUUUCAAAGAAAAAUUCUUACAACCUCGCAGAGAUUACAUGGGACUUUAAAUGAUGGUGUGAAUUGGAAAUAACAUCUGGAGAGGAGAUCCCAUUGGAAUACACUAUGGAAAUUUUGUUCUAAGCAGUAGAUCCUUCAAAUAAGUGACUAGAGGAUAUAGUACCAGCAAUACCAAUUAGGACCAUGACGUCACUGCAAACUUGCCAUUGAAGGUUGCUUAAUCUUUGUGGCCAAGUGAGAACUAUUGUGCAGCUAUUAAAUGAUUUUUUUUUAUGCUGAACUUGAUGCAUCUUUUGUGGAUCUAACCUAGACAUCUUUUGUUUGGAGCACAAAGGUUUAGUAUAUUGAGCCUUGAGUUUUUAGAUGGCGCAUUUAAAACCUUAACUAUUUUAUACACGAUAGCACUGUUACAGGAACACGAGGAAAAAGAAUAUAAAAUGUUGUAUUCAAGCCCCAAAGCUCAACGUGGUAAUGAAGGUCGCCUCCAAUGUUCAAAGUUUGGUUGGCUUUGUGUAGCUGCUGAGGAGACCUGCAUGGGAAGUGGGACCUUUCCCAGGAAUUGUGAGGCCACCUGCGACUUUAAACCUUCCUUCCUUCUACAAGUUAAAUGGUACCAUGAGGAUUCCAGUACUAGGAAUGCUGGUAUGUCUGAUCCCUCUGCUUGAGUUCAGGGAAAUGGUUUUAAAUGGGUUAGAGAUUGAGCUCA